GAUGAACGCUGGCGGUGUGCCUAAUACAUGCAAGUCGAACGAAAAGACGAGAGUGCUUGCCCUCUCUGCCGUUCGCGGCGGACGGGUGUGUGACACGUGGCUAACCUUCCUAUCAGACUGGGAUAACUUCGGGAAACCGGAGCUAAUACCGGAUAAUAUUUAGCUUCGCAUGGAGCAAUAGUGAAAGACGGUUCUGCUGUCACUUAUAGAUGGACCCGCGGUGUAUUAGCUGGUUGGUGAGGUAACGGCUCACCAAGGCAACGAUACGUAGCCGACCGGAGAGGGUGAUCGGCCACACUGGGACUGAGACACGGACCAGACUCCUACGGGAGGCGGCAGGAGGGAAUCUUCCGCAAGGGACGAAAGUCUGACGGAGCAAUGCCGCGUGAGUGAAGAAGGUUUUCGGAUCGUAAAACUCUGUUGUAAGGGAAGAACAAGUACGUUAGUAACGGAACGUACCUUGACGGUACCGUACCAGAAAGCCGCGCCUACCUACGG
RNAcentral lists this ribosomal RNA (498 nucleotides) under uncultured bacterium. RNAcentral describes it as "partial 16S ribosomal RNA". It matches the Rfam family "Bacterial small subunit ribosomal RNA", at positions 28 to 506 of the family's 1533-position model. The record is from RNAcentral.